CCUACGGGGGGCAGCAGUGGGGAAUAUUGCACAAUGGGCGAAAGCCUGACGCAGCGACGCCGCGUGAGGGAUGAAGGUCUUCGGAUCGUAAACCUCUGUCAGCAGGGAAGAACGGUCGCUGUGCUAAUCAGCAGUGAAUUGACGGUACCUGCUAAGGAAGCACCGGCUAACUCCGUGCCAGCAGCCGCGGUAAUACGGAGGGUGCGAGCGUUAAGCGGAAUUAUUGGGCGUAAAGCGCUCGUAGGCGGUAUGUCAAGUCUAGGGUGAAAUCCCCGGGCUCAACGUGGGAACUGCCUUGGAAACUGGCAAACUGGAGUGUGUGAGAGGAGAGUGGAAUUCCAGGUGUAGGAGUGAAAUCCGUAGAUAUAUGGAAGAACAUCAGUGGCGAAGGCGACUAUCUGGCACAUAACUGACGCUGAGGAGCGAAAGCGUGGGUAGCAAACAGGAUUAGAUACCCUAGUAGUC
Molecule: ribosomal RNA, 465 nt
Filed under: uncultured bacterium
Lineage: Bacteria
Description: partial 16S ribosomal RNA
Rfam family: Bacterial small subunit ribosomal RNA
Source: RNAcentral